This 492-nucleotide ribosomal RNA is filed under the name uncultured bacterium. RNAcentral's name for it is "partial 16S ribosomal RNA". It matches the Rfam family "Bacterial small subunit ribosomal RNA", at positions 29 to 507 of the family's 1533-position model. The record is from RNAcentral.
AGUGAACGCUGGCGGUAGGCCUAACACAUGCAAGUCGAACGGCAGCACAGUAAGAGCUUGCUCUUACGGGUGGCGAGUGGCGGACGGGUGAGGAAUACAUCGGAAUCUACUUUUUCGUGGGGGAUAACGUAGGGAAACUUACGCUAAUACCGCAUACGACCUACGGGUGAAAGCAGGGGAUCUUCGGACCUUGCGCGAUUGAAUGAGCCGAUGUCGGAUUAGCUAGUUGGCGGGGUAAAGGCCCACCAAGGCGACGAUCCGUAGCUGGUCUGAGAGGAUGAUCAGCCACACCGGAACUGAGACACGGUCCAGACUCCUACGGGAGGCAGCAGUGGGGAAUAUUGGACAAUGGGCGCAAGCCUGAUCCAGCCAUACCGCGUGGGUGAAGAAGGCCUUCGGGUUGUAAGGCCCUUUUGUUGGGAAAGAAAAGCAGCAGGUUAAUACCCCGCUGUUCUGACGGUACCCAAAGAAUAAGCACCGGCUAACUUCGUG